Molecule: ribosomal RNA, 492 nt
Filed under: uncultured bacterium
Lineage: Bacteria
Description: partial 16S ribosomal RNA
Rfam family: Bacterial small subunit ribosomal RNA
Source: RNAcentral
AGUGAACGCUGGCGGUAGGCCUAACACAUGCAAGUCGAACGGCAGCACAGUAAGAGCUUGCUCUUACGGGUGGCGAGUGGCGGACGGGUGAGGAAUACAUCGGAAUCUACUUUUUCGUGGGGGAUAACGUAGGGAAACUUACGCUAAUACCGCAUACGACCUACGGGUGAAAGCAGGGGAUCUUCGGACCUUGCGCGGUUGAAUGAGCCGAUGUCGGAUUAGCUAGUUGGCGGGGUAAAGGCCCACCAAGGCGACGAUCCGUAGCUGGUCUGAGAGGAUGAUCAGCCACACUGGAACUGAGACACGGUCCAGACUCCUACGGGAGGCAGCAGUGGGGAAUAUUGGACAAUGGGCGCAAGCCUGAUCCAGCCAUACCGCGUGGGUGAAGAAGGCCUUCGGGUCGUAAAGCCCUUUUGUUGGGAAAGAAAAGCAGCAGGUUAAUACCCCGCUGUUCUGACGGUACCCAAAGAAUAAGCACCGGCUAACUUCGUG